CUUCAACAAAAUAAUCCAAUAGUCAUACUGCAAAUUUACCUAAACUACUUAAUAUCUCUAAAUAGUUUGGGAUGUGGUUAAACCCUGACUUCUCAUUUGCACUUUAUAUUGAUAAACUGAACUGUAUUGUAAAAGUGGUGUUCUAUUCAGACACUAAAAAGUAACAGUAUCAGUGGUAAGGAAAGAGACUACACAACAAAUACCAAAGCCAGUCAGUGACUGUGGCUAG
Non-coding RNA from Pelobates cultripes (western spadefoot toad), 229 nucleotides. Lineage: Eukaryota; Metazoa; Chordata; Amphibia; Anura; Pelobatidae. The record is from the annotation of a GenBank genome assembly.